AUGUUCCCUGAGGCCGUUGCCAACCUGGUGGGUGGCACGGUGCUCAACACAUGGCCCGGCGGCAAGCACACCGGCACCGUUAUGGGCAACGGACGACGGCCACCCGGCGACCCCAAACCCGCUGUCAUCAAGGGUUACGUAGCUGUCGACCUCGAUGGGCACCCUUUCCCCGAAACUCUCCAAAUCAUUCUUCACACUGCGCCCACCUGCUACGACGCCAAGUUCUUCCGCCAAAGCAAUGGAAGCGUAGGUGCCAGCGUUGCAUUCGGCGGAUCCGGUGGACCGGACUGUGCUCCGCGGCCCGCCUAG
Molecule: ribosomal RNA, 309 nt
Filed under: Triticum aestivum (bread wheat)
Lineage: Eukaryota; Viridiplantae; Streptophyta; Magnoliopsida; Poales; Poaceae
Description: partial small subunit ribosomal RNA
Source: RNAcentral